RNAcentral lists this ribosomal RNA (492 nucleotides) under uncultured bacterium. RNAcentral describes it as "partial 16S ribosomal RNA". It matches the Rfam family "Bacterial small subunit ribosomal RNA", at positions 28 to 507 of the family's 1533-position model. The record is from RNAcentral.
GAUGAACGCUAGCUACAGGCUUAACACAUGCGAGUCGAGGGGAAACGACAUCGAAAGCUUGCUUUUGAUGGGCGUCGACCGGCGCACGGGUGAGUAACGCGUAUCCAACCUGCCCAUCACUUGGGAAUAACCUUGCGAAAGUAAGACUAAUACCCAAUGAUAUCCCACGAAGGCAUCGGAAUGGGAUUAAAGAUUUAUCGGUGAUGGAUGGGGAUGCGUCUGAUUAGCUUGUUGGCGGGGUAACGGCCCACCAAGGCAACGAUCAGUAGGGGUUCUGAGAGGAAGGUCCCCCACAUUGUAACUGGGACACGGUCCAAACUCCUACGGGAGGCAGCAGUGCGGAAUAUUGGUCAAUGGGCGAGAGCCUGAACCAGCCAAGUAGCGUGCAGGAAGACGGCCCUAUGGGUUGUAAACUGCUUUUAUAAGGGAAUAAAGUGGGUCACGUGUGACUUUUUGCAUGUACCUUAUGAAUAAGGACCGGCUAAUUCCGUG